Pygocentrus nattereri (red-bellied piranha) is the source of this 530-nucleotide long non-coding RNA. RefSeq lists it as uncharacterized. Lineage: Eukaryota; Metazoa; Chordata; Actinopteri; Characiformes; Serrasalmidae. The transcript is spliced from 3 exons. The record is from RefSeq and is a predicted model, not a curated record.
ACUCUAUUCAUCCUUACAUUCAAAUGUUUGAUUCAUUUGUUUGGCAGUAAGAAAUCGCAUUUCAAACUGUCCGUGUUUUUUACUCUUCUGCACAGAACGUUGACCCCAAUGGACAGAAUGACACGUACACAGAUCUUCAGCCCACGGCCAGGUCCUCUGAUGAGGUUUACCUCACACUUACAAACGCUGACCCUAAUGCUCAGGACAAUACGUACACAGCUCUUCAGCCCACAGCCAGGUCCUCUGAUGAUGUGUACCACACACUUGCAGCUGUUCAGUCCAGCUCUCCUGAUGACCUGUACACAGCUCUGGACCCUCAGUCCAGGUCUCCUGAGUAUGACACUCUAGCAGUGAGCUCUACACAUUAAAGCCAUUUGAACACUGUUGGAGACAGAAGAAAAGUCUUACACAGUACAGAAGUGAUAAUCUUAAUUCACAGAGAAUCUUAUGGCUUUGAUAAUUUGUCCACGUACUGCUGUUAUUGCUCAUUAUGUACCUCAUUGGAUUUCUUACUGUGUUAAGGAAUCAAA